RNAcentral lists this ribosomal RNA (138 nucleotides) under uncultured eukaryote. RNAcentral's name for it is "partial 18S ribosomal RNA". It matches the Rfam family "Eukaryotic small subunit ribosomal RNA", at positions 1299 to 1458 of the family's 1831-position model. The record is from RNAcentral.
UGGUGGAGCGAUUUGUCUGGUUAAUUCCGAUAAUGAACGAGACUCUGGCCUAUUAAAUAGUUCGCCGAUUCCGAUCUGUCGGCGUUAACUUCUUAGAGGGACAAGUGGCUUUUAGCCACGCGAGAUUGAGCAAUAACA